GGCGGUAGGUGAACCUGCGGAAGGAUCAUUG
Molecule: ribosomal RNA, 31 nt
Filed under: Sarmentypnum exannulatum
Lineage: Eukaryota; Viridiplantae; Streptophyta; Bryopsida; Hypnales; Amblystegiaceae
Description: partial 18S ribosomal RNA
Source: RNAcentral